GACGAACGCUGGCGGCGUGCUUAACACAUGCAAGUCGAACGGAAAGGCCCUGCUUUUGUGGGGUGCUCGAGUGGCGAACGGGUGAGUAACACGUGAGUAACCUGCCCUUGACUUUGGGAUAACUUCAGGAAACUGGGGCUAAUACCGGAUAGGAGCUCCUGCUGCAUGGUGGGGGUUGGAAAGUUUCGGCGGUUGGGGAUGGACUCGCGGCUUAUCAGCUUGUUGGUGGGGUAGUGGCUUACCAAGGCUUUGACGGGUAGCCGGCCUGAGAGGGUGACCGGCCACAUCGGGACUGAGAUACGGCUCAGACUCCUACGGGAGGCAGCAGUGGGGAAUAUUGCACAAUGGGCGGAAGCCUGAUGCAGCAACGCCGCGUGCGGGAUGACGGCCUUCGGGUUGUAAACCGCUUUCGCCUGUGACGAAGCGUGAGUGACGGUAAUGGGUAAAGAAGCACCGGCUAACUACGUG
Molecule: ribosomal RNA, 468 nt
Filed under: uncultured bacterium
Lineage: Bacteria
Description: partial 16S ribosomal RNA
Rfam family: Bacterial small subunit ribosomal RNA
Source: RNAcentral